UGUAUUUAAGAGUAGUAUGACAAGCAAUAGGCUGCUUAGAGGCAGCCCUAAAUCGUGUAACACUAUCUCUCUACAUUGUAACACUUUGGUUGAACACAAGUAAAGAAGAGAGAGCUACACGAAAUUGAUAAGAGCUUGUCUUUUCUUAUUGAUGUGUUAACCUUUACAAUGAGAUUACAAGGCUUUAUAUAGAAGGAGAACUAAGUUAAGAUGUCUCACAAUUCCCUUUAAUCCUAGCCCUUCUUUUCUCUCUUUAAAUCUCCACCAUUGAAUUCAAAAUAGCUUCUAGAAGGUUGUGGUCCUCUUUUGUCUUCUAGAAGGUUGUGGUCCAACUUUGACCAAGACCAAGUUUGAAUUUGAGUCUCCUUCCUUUGUCUCCAACGGCUCUUAGGUCUUCUAGAAGGUCUCUCAUGGGCUUCUCUUAUGUGACACCAAUCUUGCACAUUAUUAUCUUCACUAGGUGACACGAGUUUUGCACAUUCUUGUAUUCUUGCAUAGACUUCAUUUUGCAUCCUCGGUCUUGAUACUUUUGACACCAAUUAUGCACAUUAGGUCAUGAUAACUUUGACACUAAUUUUGCACAUUGGGUCUUGAUAACUUUGACACCAAUUUUGCACAUUGGUGUCUCGUCUUCGGCCUUGUCUUGAGAUCUUCGGCCUUGACUCGUCUUAUGUGUUUACACCAAUUUUGCACUUCGGUGUCUUGGUGACUUUACACCAAUUUUGCACUUCCGGCCUUCAUACCUUGAAGUGACCCGAGCUUUGCACGGCUAUCUUAUGGAGAUCUUUCUCUUCACUUGGUUCAAUA
RNAcentral lists this long non-coding RNA (807 nucleotides) under Arabidopsis lyrata. Its description in RNAcentral is "long non-coding RNA (ALYR_LNC000281)". The record is from RNAcentral. Lineage: Eukaryota; Viridiplantae; Streptophyta; Magnoliopsida; Brassicales; Brassicaceae.